UGUCCAGUAACUCCUAUCCCUACCUCCCCGUGGUGCCGCCUGGGAUAAGAGUAACCUUAGGGAAGAUCGGGUAACUAACCUCGAUGGGACCUUGGUCGUAUGCUGACAGGGAAGG
This 115-nucleotide ribozyme is filed under the name Aedes aegypti (yellow fever mosquito). Its description in RNAcentral is "drz-agam-1 ribozyme". It matches the Rfam family "drz-agam-1 ribozyme". Lineage: Eukaryota; Metazoa; Arthropoda; Insecta; Diptera; Culicidae. The record is from Rfam by way of RNAcentral.